GGCUGGAUUUCCAACAAGAUGAACUUUUUAAAGAAACCUCAUUAUUAGUACAUGAUAAGCUUAAAAUUACAUGCCACCCUUAAUUAAAGUUGGAAGGAAAAGCAGCUUUUUGUUUUUUUCCAAAAUUCUGUAGGAUGAACUUAUAACUUAUUCUUUUCCCAUCCAAUUUUUCAGAUGCAUCUGAGGAAGAGGAGAUGGUAAUAUAAAUAACAAAAAAAGACAUAGUUAAAAUAGUAGGUAUCUCCAUUAGGAAAAAUAGCAUUUUACAGGAAUCACAGGACAGUAAGCAAAAUUUCAUCAUCCUUAAAGUGACCCAUGUACUAAGAAAAAUGGAUAAGAAAAAAUUUCCCUGUUUCCAUGACACACGAGGAAAGGAGUAAGUGUAUUUGAUGUCUGUUGCAGAAUACAGGAGAACUUUUCCUUUAGAAACAGUGACAUCUUUGACACCCAGAAUUGAUAACUGAGAGUGAGUCUUUCCCAUCCAUGCCACUGGCUCCCUCUGUUCUUUCAGGGCAGUCAUCGUGGCUCUUCAUUUCUCAAAUUUAAAUGAAAACACAACUGAUGGUGACCUAUUCUAGGCAUGCUACUAUUAAGUGUUUUCUGUUAAACAAAAUUGGAUGGCCUAUGUAACAAUUAAAAACUGCUCAUAAAAUACUAUCAACUAGUUUUCAAAACCUGAAAUAAGCAGACAUGGUCGGGAAAAAGAACAACAUUUAAACCAAAGUGGUGAGACAAUAAAAUUCCAUUUUAAGUCAGCUUUUCAUCAUUUUUUAGAGAUGUUCAAUGUAAUUUCCUUUGGGGAUCAAUUAAAUUGAUACUACCAUAUUCUCGUGGAGACAAUUGUUUCUAGGAUCUUAGGUGAGAACACCCACCAUUAACUCCUACAACCUACUUUACAAUCUAAUAGCUGCCUUCAGAUCUACUCAGUAAGUCCCAUCAAAGAAGGUAAUACUCAGAAUGGGGCUGAUUUAAAAGUCUGGCUCGCUGGAGACGUAGAUACUCUGAUACUCUGACCCUCCUAGUUUUUAAGAGGCUGUUCCAAAGGAUUUUAUUAACUACAAAGUCAGUGAAGAAUAAAUGGAUAAUUUGUAGGGAAAGGUAGGGAAAAU
This 1109-nucleotide long non-coding RNA is filed under the name Canis lupus familiaris (dog). Its description in RNAcentral is "lncRNA (ENSCAFG00000055748.1, ENSCAFG00805020319.1, ENSCAFG00845009580.1)". Lineage: Eukaryota; Metazoa; Chordata; Mammalia; Carnivora; Canidae. The record is from RNAcentral.